RNAcentral lists this ribosomal RNA (180 nucleotides) under uncultured eubacterium PS05. RNAcentral's name for it is "partial 16S ribosomal RNA". It matches the Rfam family "Bacterial small subunit ribosomal RNA", at positions 326 to 523 of the family's 1533-position model. The record is from RNAcentral.
ACGGUCCAGACUCCUACGGGAGGCAGCAGUGGGGAAUAUUGCACAAUGGGGGAAACCCUGAUGCAGCAACGCCGCGUGAGUGAUGACGGCCUUCGGGUUGUAAAACUCUGUCUUUGGGGACGAUAAUGACGGUACCCAAGGAGGAAGCCACGGCUAACUACGUGCCAGCAGCCGCGGUAA